This 331-nucleotide unclassified non-coding RNA is filed under the name fungal sp. RNAcentral describes it as "partial internal transcribed spacer region". The stretch from base 1 to 46 matches the Rfam family "Eukaryotic small subunit ribosomal RNA", at positions 1786 to 1831 of the family's 1831-position model. Lineage: Eukaryota; Fungi. The record is from RNAcentral.
AAGUCGUAACAAGGUUUCCGUAGGUGAACCUGCGGAAGGAUCAUUAACACGUAUCCAAACGUUAAACCCCCCUGUGAACCUUCAGUACGUCCGUUAGAAAAAGCAGCAAUCCCUGGUAAAUCAUCGCCGAACAGUUUUCGAUUCAGGGACGUCACUAACAUGUGUAAGGAUGACGCAGUCACGAUCGUUGGAGGCCCGCACGGCCGACGACCGGGUCACUGGGUGCAAGCCCCCUUAUCACACCCCUGCUCUAUCUAUGGUGAUCCUGCGGGAAGUCCUGCGGUCGAACGCCGAAACCGAACAACUGUUAACAAUGGAUAUCUUGGUUCUC